Molecule: ribosomal RNA, 1400 nt
Filed under: bacterium NLAE-zl-P271
Lineage: Bacteria
Description: 16S ribosomal RNA
Rfam family: Bacterial small subunit ribosomal RNA
Source: RNAcentral
AGUCGAGGGGCAGCAUUUCAGUUUGCUUGCAAACUGGAGAUGGCGACCGGCGCACGGGUGAGUAACACGCUAUCCAACCUGCCGAUAACUCGGGGAUAGCCUUUCGAAAGAAAGAUUAAUACCCGAUGGUAUAAUCAGACCGCAUGGUCUUAUUAUUAAAGAAUUUCGGUUAUCGAUGGGGAUGCGUUCCAUUAGGCAGUUGGUGAGGUAACGGCUCACCAAACCUUCGAUGGAUAGGGGUUCUGAGAGGAAGGUCCCCCACAUUGGAACUGAGACACGGUCCAAACUCNUACGGGAGGCAGCAGUGAGGAAUAUUGGUCAAUGGGCGCAGGCCUGAACCAGCCAAGUAGCGUGAAGGAUGACUGCCCUAUGGGUUGUAAACUUCUUUUAUAUGGGAAUAAAGUUUUCCACGUGUGGAAUUUUGUAUGUACCAUAUGAAUAAGGAUCGCCUAACUCCGUGCCAGCAGCCGCGGUAAUACGGAGGAUCCGAGCGUUAUCCGGAUUUAUUGGGUUUAAAGGGAGCGUAGGUGGACAGUUAAGUCAGUUGUGAAAGUUUGCGGCUCAACCGUAAAAUUGCAGUUGAUACUGGCUGUCUUGAGUACAGUAGAGGUGGGCGGAAUUCGUGGUGUAGCGGUGAAAUGCUUAGAUAUCACGAAGAACUCCGAUUGCGAAGGCAGCUCACUGGACUGCAACUGACACUGAUGCUCGAAAGUGUGGGUAUCAAACAGGAUUAGAUACCCUGGUAGUCCACACAGUAAACGAUGAAUACUCGCUGUUUNGCGAUAUACAGUAAGCGGCCAAGCGAAAGCAUUAAGUAUUCCACCUGGGGAGUACGCCGGCAACGGUGAAACUCAAAGGAAUUGACGGGGGCCCGCACAAGCGGAGGAACAUGUGGUUUAAUUCGAUGAUACGCGAGGAACCUUACCCGGGCUUAAAUUGCAUUUGAAUANUNUGGAAACAGNUUAGCCGCAAGGCAAAUGUGAAGGUGCUGCAUGGUUGUCGUCAGCUCGUGCCGUGAGGUGUCGGCUUAAGUGCCAUAACGAGCGCAACCCUUAUCUUUAGUUACUAACAGGUCAUGCUGAGGACUCUAGAGAGACUGCCGUCGUAAGAUGUGAGGAAGGUGGGGAUGACGUCAAAUCAGCACGGCCCUUACGUCCGGGGCUACACACGUGUUACAAUGGGGGGUACAGAAGGCAGCUACCUGGUGACAGGAUGCUAAUCCCAAAAGCCUCUCUCAGUUCGGAUCGAAGUCUGCAACCCGACUUCGUGAAGCUGGAUUCGCUAGUAAUCGCGCAUCAGCCAUGGCGCGGUGAAUACGUUCCCGGGCCUUGUUNAAAGGNGCCCGUCAAGCCAUGAAAGCCGGGGGUACCUGAAGUACGUAACCGCAAGGAGCUCCUAGG